RNAcentral lists this ribosomal RNA (87 nucleotides) under Corynebacterium diphtheriae. The record is from RNAcentral. Lineage: Bacteria; Bacillati; Actinomycetota; Actinomycetes; Mycobacteriales; Corynebacteriaceae.
GGUCCCUUUCCGAACCCGGAAGCUAAGCCCGAUUGCGCUGAUGGUACUGCACCUGGGAGGGUGUGGGAGAGUAGGUCGCCGCCAACC